Non-coding RNA from Rhynchosporium agropyri, 75 nucleotides. Lineage: Eukaryota; Fungi; Ascomycota; Leotiomycetes; Helotiales; Ploettnerulaceae. The record is from the annotation of a GenBank genome assembly.
CUCUCGGUCGUCUAGUUGGUUUAUGGCGUCGGACUGUAAAUCCGAAUGUCGCGCGUUCGACUCGCGCCUGAGAGA